CCGAGGGCCAGAAGCACAGGAGGUUGGAAAACGGACAUUUUCCUUCUGUUCUUAAACCAGUCAGUGAACAGCUGGGUACCGAGAAAAUGAGCAGGGGCGAUACAGUUGCCAUUAAAGGAGAAAAGAGUCGGUGAUCACACGGGGACUUUCAUGCAAUACCUGGAAGUGAUAUACAUCAUUUCAGCCCACAUUCUGUUGUCCAGAAAACAAUUGGAUGCACCAACCAAACUGAAAAGGCAACUGGGAAAUGGAAUCUUCACUGUGCUCAAGAAAAAAUAAAUAAGAUUGCUAAGCUUAUGGCAGGUCCCUGCCUCAGUUUUACC
RNAcentral lists this long non-coding RNA (323 nucleotides) under Equus asinus (donkey). RNAcentral describes it as "lncRNA (ENSEASG00005032442.1)". The record is from RNAcentral. Lineage: Eukaryota; Metazoa; Chordata; Mammalia; Perissodactyla; Equidae.